This 377-nucleotide ribosomal RNA is filed under the name uncultured organism. RNAcentral describes it as "partial 16S ribosomal RNA". It matches the Rfam family "Bacterial small subunit ribosomal RNA", at positions 527 to 896 of the family's 1533-position model. The record is from RNAcentral.
GUAGGUGGCAAGCGUUGUCCGGGAAUUAUUGGGGCGUAAAGCGCGCGCAGGCGGUCCUUUAAGUCUGGUUGUGAAAGCCCACGGGCUCAACCGUGGGAGGGUCAUUGGAAACUGGGGGACUUGAGUGCAGAAGAGAAGAGUGGAAUUCCACGUGUAGCGGUGAAAUGCGUAGAGAUGUGGAGGAACACCAGUGGCGAAGGCGACUCUUUGGUCUGUAACUGACGCUGAGGCGCGAAAGCGUGGGGAGCAAACAGGAUUAGAUACCCUGGUAGUCCACGCCGUAAACGAUGAGUGCUAAGUGUUAGAGGGUUUCCGCCCUUUAGUGCUGCAGCAAACGCAUUAAGCACUCCGCCUGGGGAGUACGGCCGCAAAGGCUG